This 497-nucleotide ribosomal RNA is filed under the name uncultured bacterium. RNAcentral describes it as "partial 16S ribosomal RNA". It matches the Rfam family "Bacterial small subunit ribosomal RNA", at positions 28 to 507 of the family's 1533-position model. The record is from RNAcentral.
GAUGAACGCUGGCGGCGUGCCUAAUACAUGCAAGUCGAGCGAACGGACGAGAAGCUUGCUUCUCUGAUGUUAGUGGCGGACGGGUGAGUAACACGUGGAUAACUUACCUAUAAGACUGGGAUAACUUCGGGAAACCGGAGCUAAUACCGGAUAAUAUUUUGAACCGCAUGGUUCAAAAGUGAAAGACGGUCUUGCUGUCACUUAUAGAUGGAUCCGCGCUGCAUUAGCUAGUUGGUAAGGUAACGGCUUACCAAGGCAACGAUGCAUAGCCGACCUGAGAGGGUGAUCGGCCACACUGGAACUGAGACACGGUCCAGACUCCUACGGGAGGCAGCAGUAGGGAAUCUUCCGCAAUGGGCGAAAGCCUGACGGAGCAACGCCGCGUGAGUGAUGAAGGUCUUCGGAUCGUAAAACUCUGUUAUUAGGGAAGAACAUAUGUGUAAGUAACUGUGCACAUCUUGACGGUACCUAAUCAGAAAGCCACGGCUAACUACGUG